This 497-nucleotide ribosomal RNA is filed under the name uncultured bacterium. Its description in RNAcentral is "partial 16S ribosomal RNA". It matches the Rfam family "Bacterial small subunit ribosomal RNA", at positions 28 to 507 of the family's 1533-position model. The record is from RNAcentral.
GACGAACGCUGGCGGCGUGCCUAAUACAUGCAAGUAGAACGCUGAAGAGAGGAGCUUGCUCUUCUUGGAUGAGUUGCGAACGGGUGAGUAACGCGUAGGUAACCUGCCUGGUAGCGGGGGAUAACUAUUGGAAACGAUAGCUAAUACCGCAUAAAAUUGAUUAUUGCAUGAUAAUUAAUUGAAAGAUGCAACUGCAUCACUACCAGAUGGACCUGCGUUGUAUUAGCUAGUUGGUGAGGUAACGGCUCACCAAGGCGACGAUACAUAGCCGACCCGAGAGGGUGAUCGGCCACACUGGGACUGGGACACGGCCCAGACUCCUACGGGAGGCAGCAGUAGGGAAUCUUCGGCAAUGGGGGGAACCCUGACCGAGCAACGCCGCGUGAGUGAAGAAGGUUUUCGGAUCGUAAAGCUCUGUUGUAAGAGAAGAACGGGUGUGAGAGUGGAAAGUUCACACUGUGACGGUAUCUUACCAGAAAGGGACGGCUAACUACGUG